This 677-nucleotide ribosomal RNA is filed under the name uncultured Vibrionaceae bacterium. Its description in RNAcentral is "bacterial SSU rRNA". It matches the Rfam family "Bacterial small subunit ribosomal RNA", at positions 1 to 671 of the family's 1533-position model. Lineage: Bacteria; Pseudomonadati; Pseudomonadota; Gammaproteobacteria; Vibrionales; Vibrionaceae. The record is from RNAcentral.
UAGAGUUUGAUCCUGGCUCAGAUUGAACGCUGGCGGCAGGCCUAACACAUGCAAGUCGAGCGGUAACAGGAAGAAAGCUUGCUUUCUUUGCUGACGAGCGGCGGACGGGUGAGUAAUGCCUAGGGAUCUGCCCAGUCGUGGGGGAUAACAGUUGGAAACGACUGCUAAUACCGCAUACGCCCUACGGGGGAAAGGAGGGGACCUUCGGGCCUUCCGCGAUUGGAUGAACCUAGGUGGGAUUAGCUAGUUGGUGAGGUAAUGGCUCACCAAGGCAACGAUCCCUAGCUGGUCUGAGAGGAUGAUCAGCCACACUGGAACUGAGACACGGUCCAGACUCCUACGGGAGGCAGCAGUGGGGAAUAUUGCACAAUGGGCGAAAGCCUGAUGCAGCCAUGCCGCGUGUGUGAAGAAGGCCUUCGGGUUGUAAAGCACUUUCAGCGAGGAGGAAAGGUUAAUAGUUAAUAACUGUUAGCUGUGACGUUACUCGCAGAAGAAGCACCGGCUAACUUCGUGCCAGCAGCCGCGGUAAUACGAGGGGUGCAAGCGUUAAUCGGAAUUACUGGGCGUAAAGCGUACGCAGGCGGUUUGUUAAGCGAGAUGUGAAAGCCCCGGGCUCAACCUGGGAACUGCAUUUCGAACUGGCAAACUAGAGUACUGUAGAGGGGGGUAGAAUUUCA